ACUGCUCAGUAACACGUGGACAACCUGCCCUUAGGACGGGGAUAAACCCGGGAAACUGGGUAUAAUACCCGAUAGGUCUCGAUUGCUGGAAUGCAUCGAGAUUUAAAGCUCCGGCGCCUAAGGAUGGGUCUGCGGCCUAUCAGGUAGUAGUGGGUGUAGCGUACCUACUAGCCUACGACGGGUACGGGUUGUGAGAGCAAGAGCCCGGAGAUGGAUUCUGAGACACGAAUCCAGGCCCUACGGGGUGCAGCAGGCGCGAAAACUUUACAAUGCUGGCAACAGCGAUAAGGGAACCUCGAGUGCCAGGUUACAAAUCUGGCUGUCGAGAUGCCUAAAAAGCAUUUCAUAGCAAGGGCCGGGCAAGACCGGUGCCAGCCGCCGCGGUAACACCGGCGGCUCGAGUGGUAACCGUUAUUAUUGGGUCUAAAGGGUCUGUAGCCGGCCGGAUAAGUCUCUUGAGAAAUCUGGCAGCUUAACUGUCAGGCUUUCAGGAGAUACUGUCUGGCUCGAGGCCGGGAGAGGUGAGAGGUACUUCAGGGGUAGGGGUGAAAUCUUGUAAUCCUUGAAGGACCACCAGUGGCGAAGGCGUCUCACCAGAACGGACCUGACGGCAAGGGACGAAAGCUAGGGGCACGAACCGGAUUAGAUACCCGGGUAGUCCUAGCCGUAAACGAUACUCGCUAGGUGUCGGCCACGGUGCGACCGUUGUCAGUGCCGUAGGGAAGCCGUGAAGCGAGCCACCUGGGAAGUACGGCCGCAAGGCUGAAACUUAAAGGAAUUGGCGGGGGAGCAC
This 793-nucleotide ribosomal RNA is filed under the name Methanosaeta sp. enrichment culture clone A5_44. RNAcentral's name for it is "bacterial SSU rRNA". It matches the Rfam family "Archaeal small subunit ribosomal RNA", at positions 85 to 879 of the family's 1478-position model. Lineage: Archaea; Methanobacteriati; Methanobacteriota; Methanomicrobia; Methanotrichales; Methanotrichaceae. The record is from RNAcentral.